ACGCUGGCGGCGUGCCUAAUACAUGCAAGUAGAACGCUGAAGAGAGGAGCUUGCUCUUCUUGGAUGAGUUGCGAACGGGUGAGUAACGCGUAGGUAACCUGCCUUGUAGCGGGGGAUAACUAUUGGAAACGAUAGCUAAUACCGCAUAACAAUGGAUGACACAUGUCAUUUAUUUGAAAGGGGCAAUUGCUCCACUACAAGAUGGACCUGCGUUGUAUUAGCUAGUAGGUGAGGUAACGGCUCACCUAGGCGACGAUACAUAGCCGACCUGAGAGGGUGAUCGGCCACACUGGGACUGAGACACGGCCCAGACUCCUACGGGAGGCAGCAGUAGGGAAUCUUCGGCAAUGGGGGCAACCCUGACCGAGCAACGCCGCGUGAGUGAAGAAGGUUUUCGGAUCGUAAAGCUCCGUUGUAAGUCAAGAACGAGUGUGAGAGUGGAAAGUUCACACUGUGACGGUAGCUUACCAGAAAGGGACGGCUAACUACGUGCCAGCAGCCGCGGUAAUACGUAGGUCCCGAGCGUUGUCCGGAUUUAUUGGGCGUAAAGCGAGCGCAGGCGGUUUGAUAAGUCUGAAGUUAAAGGCUGUGGCUCAACCAUAGUUCGCUUUGGAAACUGUCAAACUUGAGUGCAGAAGGGGAGAGUGGAAUUCCAUGUGUAGCGGUGAAAUGCGUAGAUAUAUGGAGGAACACCGGUGGCGAAAGCGGCUCUCUGGUCUGUAACUGACGCUGAGGCUCGAAAGCGUGGGGAGCGAACAGGAUUAGAUACCCUGGUAGUCCACCCCGUAAACGAUGAGUGCUAGGUGUUGGAUCCUUUCCGGGAUUCAGUGCCGCAGCUACGCAUUAAGCACCUCCGCCUGGGGAGAACGACCGCAAGGUUGAAACUCAAAGGAAUUGACGGGGGCCCGCA
RNAcentral lists this ribosomal RNA (910 nucleotides) under uncultured bacterium. RNAcentral describes it as "bacterial SSU rRNA". It matches the Rfam family "Bacterial small subunit ribosomal RNA", at positions 33 to 925 of the family's 1533-position model. The record is from RNAcentral.